Phodopus roborovskii (desert hamster) is the source of this 194-nucleotide small nuclear RNA. RefSeq annotates it as U2 spliceosomal RNA. The record is from RefSeq and is a predicted model, not a curated record. NCBI's taxonomy places the organism in Eukaryota, Metazoa, Chordata, Mammalia, Rodentia, Cricetidae. The transcript has a single exon.
GUUGUUUCUUGGCCUUUUUGGCUAAGAUCAAAUGUAGUAUCUGUUAUCAGUUUAAUAUCUAAUAGCUAAUGUCCUCUAUCCAAGGACAACAUAUUAAGUGGAUUUUUUGAGCUAGGACCUGGAAUUGGAGCUUGUUUCGCCCAUUCCAUUAAUUGACCUGGUAUUGUAGUGCCUCCAGAAAUGAUGAAAAAAAA